GUCCUUUCGUUUUUUUGGAAGGUCUGGCCUGCCCAGUGAAUUAAAUUUAACGGCCGCGGUAUAUUGACCGUGCAAAGGUAGCAUAAUCAUUAGUCUUUUAAUAGGAGGCUGGUAUGAAAGGUUUAACGAAACAUAAACUGUCUUAUUUAUAAAUUUAUAAUUUAACUUUUAAGUUAAAAGGCUUAAAUAUUUUUGGAGGACGAGAAGACCCUAUAGAGCUUUACAUUAUAUUGUUUUUAAUAUUUCUUUGUUUAAUAAUUUAGUAUUAAUUUUAAUAUUGUUUUGUUGGGGUGACAAAAAAUAUAUAUUUAACUUUUAUCAUUUAAUUUACAUUAAUUUAUGUUUUAUUGGAUCCAAUAUUAUUGAUCAUUAGAUUAAGUUACCUUAGGGAUAACAGCGUAAUCUUCUUUCAGAGUUCAAAUUUACAAGAAGGCUUGCGACCUCGAUGUUGGAUUAAGAUAAUAGUUAGGUGCAGUAGCUUAAUUAAUAGGUCUGUUCGACCUUUAAAUUCUU
This 513-nucleotide ribosomal RNA is filed under the name Ceriagrion nipponicum. RNAcentral's name for it is "partial 16S ribosomal RNA". It matches the Rfam family "Bacterial large subunit ribosomal RNA", at positions 1831 to 2597 of the family's 2925-position model. The record is from RNAcentral. Lineage: Eukaryota; Metazoa; Arthropoda; Insecta; Odonata; Coenagrionidae.